RNAcentral lists this transfer RNA (76 nucleotides) under Chloroflexota bacterium. Its description in RNAcentral is "Chloroflexi bacterium (marine sediment metagenome) tRNA-Ala". It matches the Rfam family "tRNA". Rfam says of the family: Transfer RNA (tRNA) molecules are approximately 80 nucleotides in length. Their secondary structure includes four short double-helical elements and three loops (D, anti-codon, and T loops). Further hydrogen bonds mediate the characteristic L-shaped molecular structure. tRNAs have two regions of fundamental functional importance: the anti-codon, which is responsible for specific mRNA codon recognition, and the 3' end, to which the tRNAs corresponding amino acid is attached (by aminoacyl-tRNA synthetases). tRNAs cope with the degeneracy of the genetic code in two manners: having more than one tRNA (with a specific anti-codon) for a particular amino acid; and 'wobble' base-pairing, i.e. permitting non-standard base-pairing at the 3rd anti-codon position. RNAcentral also lists the same sequence under 1 other name. The record is from RNAcentral. Lineage: Bacteria; Bacillati; Chloroflexota.
GGGGCUGUAGCUCACUUGGGAGAGCGCCUGUCUGGCAGACAGGAGGUAGCGGGUUCGACCCCCGCCAGCUCCACCA